GGGGUGGCUCAGUGACAGAGCAUCUGCUUGGCACCCAGAAGUCCCAGAUUUGAUCCCUGGCAUCUCCA
This 68-nucleotide transfer RNA is filed under the name Sphaerodactylus townsendi. Its description in RNAcentral is "tRNA-Ala". It matches the Rfam family "tRNA". From Rfam's summary of the family: Transfer RNA (tRNA) molecules are approximately 80 nucleotides in length. Their secondary structure includes four short double-helical elements and three loops (D, anti-codon, and T loops). Further hydrogen bonds mediate the characteristic L-shaped molecular structure. tRNAs have two regions of fundamental functional importance: the anti-codon, which is responsible for specific mRNA codon recognition, and the 3' end, to which the tRNAs corresponding amino acid is attached (by aminoacyl-tRNA synthetases). tRNAs cope with the degeneracy of the genetic code in two manners: having more than one tRNA (with a specific anti-codon) for a particular amino acid; and 'wobble' base-pairing, i.e. permitting non-standard base-pairing at the 3rd anti-codon position. Lineage: Eukaryota; Metazoa; Chordata; Lepidosauria; Squamata; Sphaerodactylidae. The record is from RNAcentral.